Non-coding RNA from Acanthosepion pharaonis, 112 nucleotides. The record is from the annotation of a GenBank genome assembly. NCBI's taxonomy places the organism in Eukaryota, Metazoa, Mollusca, Cephalopoda, Sepiida, Sepiidae.
UUAUGGCCAUAUCAUGAUGAAACACCGAUUCUCAUAUGAUCAUUGAGGUUAAGCAACAUUGAGACUGGUCAGUACCUAGAUGGGUGACUGUUUGGGAAUACUAGAUACUGUA